UCUGGCGUCUUCGACGUCCGAGUUGUAAUCUCGAGAAGUGUUUUCCGUGAUAGACCGCAUACAAGUCUCUUGGAACAGAGCGUCAUAGUGGUGAGAACCCAGUACACGAUGCGGAUGCCUAUUACUUUGUGAUACACUUUCGAAGAGUCGAGUUGUUUGGGAAUGCAGCUCAAAUUGGGUGGUAAAUUCCAUCUAAAGCUAAAUAUUGGCGAGAGACCGAUAGCGAACAAGUACCGUGAGGGAAAGAUGAAAAGCACUUUGGAAAGAGAGUUAACAGUACGUGAAAUUGUUGGAAGGGAAACACAUGCAGUGAUACUUGCUAUUCGGGGCAACUCGAUUGGCAGGCCCGCAUCAGUUUUUCGGGGCGGAAAAGCAUAGAGAGAAGGUAGCAGUUUCGGCUGUGUUAUAGCUCUUUAUUGGAUUCGCCCUGGGGGACUGAGGAACGCAGCGUGCUUUUUGCAUGAGCUUCGGCUUAUCCACGCUUAGGAUGCGGGUUUAUGGCUGUAUAUGACCC
Molecule: ribosomal RNA, 514 nt
Filed under: Sporobolomyces pararoseus
Lineage: Eukaryota; Fungi; Basidiomycota; Microbotryomycetes; Sporidiobolales; Sporidiobolaceae
Description: Sporidiobolus pararoseus partial large subunit ribosomal RNA
Rfam family: Eukaryotic large subunit ribosomal RNA
Source: RNAcentral